Molecule: transfer RNA, 115 nt
Filed under: Oscillospiraceae bacterium
Lineage: Bacteria; Bacillati; Bacillota; Clostridia; Eubacteriales; Oscillospiraceae
Description: tRNA-Ser
Source: RNAcentral
GGGCAAUUUUGAGUUGGAAUCGACAAAAAACCGUUUAGUACCAAUAUAUAGAGGGGUUUUGCGAAAAUGCUUGACGUGCGGGAGGUCACAGGUUCGAGUCCUGUAUCGUCCACCA